This 64-nucleotide non-coding RNA is filed under the name Blattella germanica (German cockroach). Lineage: Eukaryota; Metazoa; Arthropoda; Insecta; Blattodea; Blattellidae. The record is from RNAcentral.
CGUGCUGCAUCAGGUGCUAGUGACUGUGAAUAAAUUGUCAGUCAGGUACCUGAAGUAGCGCGCG